GGAUUGUGGCUCAGUGGCAGAGUACUUGCCUAGCACAUGUGAGGUCCUGGCUUCAAUUCUCAGCACCA
This 68-nucleotide transfer RNA is filed under the name Marmota monax (woodchuck). RNAcentral's name for it is "tRNA.Ala". The record is from RNAcentral. Lineage: Eukaryota; Metazoa; Chordata; Mammalia; Rodentia; Sciuridae.